AAGCGCUUGCAACCAGACUUGCGCGCUGUCGAUCAUCCGGGGUUCUCCCCGGUGCACUCGGCUGUGCUCAGGCCAGCAUCGGUUUGGGUGGUUGGAUAAAGGCCUUGGGAAUGUAGCUUCUUUCGGGGAGUGUUAUAGCCCUCGGUGCAAUGCAGCCUACCUGGACCGAGGACCGCGCUUCGGCUAGGAUGCUGGCGUAAUGGUUGUAAGCGA
RNAcentral lists this ribosomal RNA (213 nucleotides) under Xenopolyscytalum sp. RNAcentral describes it as "partial large subunit ribosomal RNA". Lineage: Eukaryota; Fungi; Ascomycota; Leotiomycetes; Helotiales; Hamatocanthoscyphaceae. The record is from RNAcentral.